This 584-nucleotide ribosomal RNA is filed under the name Penicillium chrysogenum. Its description in RNAcentral is "eukaryotic LSU rRNA". The stretch from base 218 to 370 matches the Rfam family "5.8S ribosomal RNA". Lineage: Eukaryota; Fungi; Ascomycota; Eurotiomycetes; Eurotiales; Aspergillaceae. The record is from RNAcentral.
GUAACAAGGUUUCCGUAGGUGAACCUGCGGAAGGAUCAUUACCGAGUGAGGGCCCUCUGGGUCCAACCUCCCACCCGUGUUUAUUUUACCUUGUUGCUUCGGCGGGCCCGCCUUAACUGGCCGCCGGGGGGCUUACGCCCCCGGGCCCGCGCCCGCCGAAGACACCCUCGAACUCUGUCUGAAGAUUGUAGUCUGAGUGAAAAUAUAAAUUAUUUAAAACUUUCAACAACGGAUCUCUUGGUUCCGGCAUCGAUGAAGAACGCAGCGAAAUGCGAUACGUAAUGUGAAUUGCAAAUUCAGUGAAUCAUCGAGUCUUUGAACGCACAUUGCGCCCCCUGGUAUUCCGGGGGGCAUGCCUGUCCGAGCGUCAUUGCUGCCCUCAAGCACGGCUUGUGUGUUGGGCCCCGUCCUCCGAUCCCGGGGGACGGGCCCGAAAGGCAGCGGCGGCACCGCGUCCGGUCCUCGAGCGUAUGGGGCUUUGUCACCCGCUCUGUAGGCCCGGCCGGCGCUUGCCGAUCAACCCAAAUUUUUAUCCAGGUUGACCUCGGAUCAGGUAGGGAUACCCGCUGAACUUAAGCAUAUCA